AAUGACUCUCGGCAACGGAUAUCUCGGCUCUCGCAUCGAUGAAGAACGUAGCGAAAUGCGAUACUUGGUGUGAAUUGCAGAAUCCCGUGAACCAUCGAGUCUUUGAACGCAAGUUGCGCCCGAAGCCUUUUGGCCGAGGGCACGUUUGCCUGGGCAU
RNAcentral lists this ribosomal RNA (157 nucleotides) under Armeria filicaulis subsp. nevadensis. RNAcentral's name for it is "5.8S ribosomal RNA". It matches the Rfam family "5.8S ribosomal RNA". From Rfam's summary of the family: 5.8S ribosomal RNA (5.8S rRNA) is a component of the large subunit of the eukaryotic ribosome. It is transcribed by RNA polymerase I as part of the 45S precursor that also contains 18S and 28S rRNA. The record is from RNAcentral. Lineage: Eukaryota; Viridiplantae; Streptophyta; Magnoliopsida; Caryophyllales; Plumbaginaceae.